UACAUUGUGGUACGAUUAUCUGCUAAGAGACUAUCCCAAUCUAAUACUAACGGUGCGGAUUAAGUUUAAGGAGCUUUACGGACCUUGGGUAAUAGCAAGAUGUUAUAUUAACGUGACAGCGCCUGCUGUAAUUGCCGAUAUUUUAGGCGGCGAUUACAGAGAAGUAAGUGACAAAAGUAAGUGGUUGCAUCUUGAUGGCUCAAGGAGUCGUGAGCCGGCUGUAAGUUUGCAUGCCCCUCAGCAGCUAACGUAUAGUUGGUUCUUAAGCUCUGAAGACGGAAAUGACAAGACAACCCUUAGUUUCGAAAGUUCUAGUUCGACGAUUCAACUUCCGACUAAAAGUCUUAAGACAGACUCAACAAACAUUAUCACUUUGACGGUAAUCAAUAAAUUUAUAAGGAGCCGCAGCCAUACUACCACCCAAGUUGUUCGGCUAGUCAGUGAAACAGAACCGAUCUGGGUAGAGAUUG
Drosophila grimshawi is the source of this 470-nucleotide long non-coding RNA. RefSeq lists it as uncharacterized. The record is from RefSeq and is a predicted model, not a curated record. Lineage: Eukaryota; Metazoa; Arthropoda; Insecta; Diptera; Drosophilidae. The transcript has 3 exons.